GUAACACGUGUGCAACCAACCCCGUACCGGGAGAUAACCCGCGGAAACGUGGACUAACACCCCAUAACACCUUUCCCCCGCAUGGGGGAGAGUUUAAAAUCACGAUGGUACGGGACGGGCACGCGCGACAUUAGGUAGUUGGCGGGGUAACGGCCCACCAAGCCGACGAUGUCUAGGGGUUCUGAGAGGAAGGUCCCCCACACUGGAACUGAGACACGGUCCAGACUCCUACGGGAGGCAGCAGUGAGGAAUAUUGGUCAAUGGGCGAGAGUCUGAACCAGCCAAGUCGCGUGAGGGAAGAAUGGUCUAUGGCCUGUAAACCUCUUUUGUCAAGGAAGAAUAAGCGGCACGAGUGCCACCUUGCCAGUACUUGACGAAUAAGCAUCGGCUAACUCCGUGCCAGCAGCCGCGGUAAUACGGGGGAUGCGAGCGUUAUCCGGAUUUAUUGGGUUUAAAGGGCGCGUAGGCGGGACGUCAAGUCAGCGGUAAAAGACUGCAGCUAAACUGUAGCACGCCGUUGAAACUGUCGACCUGGAGACGAGACGAGGGAGGCGGAACAAGUGAAGUAGCGGUGAAAUGCAUAGAUAUCACUUGGAACCCCGAUAGCGAAGGCAGCUUCCCAGGCUCGAUCUGACGCUGAUGCGCGAGAGCGUGGGUAGCGAACAGGAUUAGAUACCCUGGUAGUCCACGCCGUAAACGAUGCUCACUGGAUCUUGGCGAUACACGGCCAGGGUUCAAGCGAAAGUAUUAAGUGAGCCACCUGGGGAGUACGUCGGCAACGAUGAAACUCAAAGGAAUUGACGGGGGCCCGCACAAGCGGAGGAACAUGUGGUUUAAUUCGAUGAUACGCGAGGAACCUUACCCGGGUUUAAAUGCAGGUUGCAUGAGGUGGAAACACCUCUUUCCCUCGGGACUACCUGCAAGGUGCUGCAUGGUUGUCGUCAGCUCGUGCCGUGAGGUGUCGGGUUAAGUCCCAUAACGAGCGCAACCCCUAUCGCCAGUUGCCAUCGGUUCAAGCCGGGCACUCUGUCGAGACUGCCACCGUAAGGUGCGAGGAAGGCGGGGAUGACGUCAAAUCAGCACGGCCCUUACACCCGGGGCGACACACGUGUUACAAUGGCCGGUACAGAGGGCAGCCACGGGGCGACCCGGAGCGAAUCUCUAAAGCCGGUCGUAGUUCGGACUGGAGUCUGCAACCCGACUCCACGAAGUUGGAUUCGCUAGUAAUCGCGCAUCA
RNAcentral lists this ribosomal RNA (1237 nucleotides) under metagenome. Its description in RNAcentral is "bacterial SSU rRNA". It matches the Rfam family "Bacterial small subunit ribosomal RNA", at positions 110 to 1351 of the family's 1533-position model. The record is from RNAcentral.